GCGAUUCGGUGCAAAAAUCAAUGUGUUACAGGCUAUUGGUCGCCUCCGCUACGUUUUCUAAACAGUCCACGAACAGACGAGUGUCACGAGAUCAUUUCGCUCGGGCGUACGAACGACGACCACUAGACGGCAAGGCGAGGUCCGACAGAGUCGGCAGUGGGAAUAUAGUUGACGGCGAGUGGCUAUUGCGCGAUGUCAUACGCGCGUCAGACGACGGUGCAGACGACGACUAAUCGACGAGCGACCGAGACCAAAAUGGCACGGGGCGAGUGAAGAAGAUUUGAGCCUGUGAAAUCGGCGACCACUGGAUGGACGCAACCCGACAAAUAAUAAUUACUAUUUAUUCAAACUAAACUUUUUAUAUUCUAGUAAAUGAAUUUAUUUUAUUCAAAAACUGUAACAUUAAAAUGUAGAUCACUAUUCAUUAUUAGUUAAACAUAUAUUAUUAUAAUUAUACAACUUAUAUCUCUAUUAUCUCUCUUUACUCUAUUAUUUAAUAUUUUAAUGUUAUUAUUUAUCACUAUUAUAUCAAUAUUAAACUAACUAUUCAGCUCUAUAACAGGUAUUCUAAUAAAUUAUUAUAAUAAAAAAGAAAAACGUUUUAAAUGUAAAACUAUUCUAAGCAGUAAGCGGGGACGUUCUAUUAGCCUACAUAUGUUUACAAAAAAUUUUAAAUUCACUGCCAAUGUCAAGUCGAUCUUACAAAUUAAUCAUAAAGAAUGUUGAAGACGUUCGGUGGUAUCCGGUCAAGGAUUCGGUUCCGUUGAUCGUACUGGCUAAGAACUCGGCCAUUUGACAUUAUCCAAUUAUUCGACGGGUUUUCGACGAAUAGUAUUCGUGAACGAUGUGCAUAGUACAUGAAUCAUCCUCGAAAACUUUGAGGAGUCUUUCACAGUCAUAUUUGUGACGAAUAGAAUCUACGAAACGACCAGAAUCCCCAAACAAUAAGGUUAACAUGACAACGAGUUAACCGUGGUCCGUGAGGAUGGCUGGAUGAUCCGAAGGAAAGUACAACGGGAAAACAUUAUAAGAAUUGCUUAUAGAAUUGAAUUUGAGACAUCACAAAUGGCGUUAUAAAAGUGAAAACUUUGUGAUGAAUCUUGAGAUAAUACCUAUAUAAUAUUCAUAUUUAUUCCAUUAUAAUAAUUGUGCAAUGUUAUACAUAUAGCAGUUUAGAAAUUAUCAUUUUAAUUUUUUCGUUAAUGUAUAACGAAUAUUAAUAGAGUUGAUUAUUUAAAAUUAAUAAGUUAAUAGGAACACUUCAAAAUCAUAGGAGUUUUAUUUAUAAAUUCAAUGAUGUGUGAAUGAGUUAUUAUAUAUUAAAUUAAAUAUUGAUCAAUCACUGCUUAACGUGGUAAUACAUAAUAUGUUGAAACUUGAAAGUAAGGCAAAUAUUCAAUUUUUUUAAGAAUAAUAUAAUUUAGUGUAUUUGAUAAAAUACUUUGUGCACGCGUAAUAGCUAGUACAUAUUACAAUUCAUGUUAGUUGCUUAUUGUACACAGAUUAAUCAAUUUUGAUUUUUACAUUAUUUGUAUAACUUAAAAAUAAUUUACAGAAUAUGCAGACCAUAACGGACGGGGCAAUUAUUAUCCUGUAUCAGAACCGGUGCGGUGGUUGACUUUCUGUAUUUUUAAAUCCAUGAUAGUAACUAUAUCUAUAAUGAAUGAUGCCUGUAUUUAAAGCUAUAAUGAUCAAAUAAUAAUAUAAUAUAAAUAUAAUAAUAACAUACAUUAUAUGUAUCGUAUUUCUCGGCUUGUCCGGUGCAUUAUACAGACAAUUUCACUACAUUUAUGGGUAGAGAAACACA
This is a long non-coding RNA of Rhopalosiphum padi (bird cherry-oat aphid), 1807 nucleotides long. RefSeq lists it as uncharacterized. The transcript has 3 exons. Lineage: Eukaryota; Metazoa; Arthropoda; Insecta; Hemiptera; Aphididae. The record is from RefSeq and is a predicted model, not a curated record.